AUUGAACGCUGGCGGCAUGCCUUACACAUGCAAGUCGAACGGUAACGGGCCUUCGGGUGCCGACGAGUGGCGAACGGGUGAGUAAUACAUCGGAACGUGCCCGAUCGUGGGGGAUAACGAGGCGAAAGCUUUGCUAAUACCGCAUACGAUCUACGGAUGAAAGCAGGGGACCGCAAGGCCUUGCGCGGACGGAGCGGCCGAUGGCAGAUUAGGUAGUUGGUGGGAUAAAAGCUUACCAAGCCGACGAUCUGUAGCUGGUCUGAGAGGAUGAUCAGCCACACUGGGACUGAGACACGGCCCAGACUCCCACGGGAGGCAGCAGUGGGGAAUUUUGGACAAUGGGCGCAAGCCUGAUCCAGCCAUGCCGCGUGCAGGAUGAAGGCCUUCGGGUUGUAAACUGCUUUUGUACGGAACGAAAAGCCUUCUUUUAAUACAGGAGGGUCAUGACGGUACCGUAAGAAUAAGCACCGGCUAACUACGUG
RNAcentral lists this ribosomal RNA (482 nucleotides) under uncultured bacterium. RNAcentral's name for it is "partial 16S ribosomal RNA". It matches the Rfam family "Bacterial small subunit ribosomal RNA", at positions 30 to 507 of the family's 1533-position model. The record is from RNAcentral.